CGCCGCUCACGCGACUGGCGAUCAGGGGCACAAGCUGCCCCGAGGUGGGCCACCACCGGGGAGCGUGAGGCGGUUGCCAAACCGCCAUCAGCCGUUCGCCUGGGCAGCCCUG
This 112-nucleotide non-coding RNA is filed under the name Pelomonas sp. Root1444. RNAcentral describes it as "ZMP/ZTP riboswitch aptamer (pfl RNA motif)". It matches the Rfam family "ZMP/ZTP riboswitch aptamer (pfl RNA motif)". From Rfam's summary of the family: Previously known as pfl RNA. RNAcentral also lists the same sequence under 1 other name. Lineage: Bacteria; Pseudomonadati; Pseudomonadota; Betaproteobacteria; Burkholderiales; Sphaerotilaceae. The record is from Rfam by way of RNAcentral.